This 253-nucleotide ribosomal RNA is filed under the name uncultured bacterium. Its description in RNAcentral is "partial 16S ribosomal RNA". It matches the Rfam family "Bacterial small subunit ribosomal RNA", at positions 524 to 776 of the family's 1533-position model. The record is from RNAcentral.
UACGGGGGGGGCAAGCGUUGUUCGGAAUUACUGGGAGUAAAGGGCUCGUAGGCGGCCAACUAAGUCAGACGUGAAAUCCCUCGGCUUAACCGGGGAACUGCGUCUGAUACUGGAUGGCUUGAGGUUGGGAGAGGGAUGCGGAAUUCCAGGUGUAGCGGUGAAAUGCGUAGAUAUCUGGAGGAACACCGGUGGCGAAGGCGGCAUCCUGGACCAAUUCUGACGCUGAGGAGCGAAAGCCAGGGGAGCAAACGGG